RNAcentral lists this ribosomal RNA (460 nucleotides) under uncultured bacterium. Its description in RNAcentral is "partial 16S ribosomal RNA". It matches the Rfam family "Bacterial small subunit ribosomal RNA", at positions 338 to 795 of the family's 1533-position model. The record is from RNAcentral.
CCUACGGGUGGCAGCAGUGAGGAAUAUUGGUCAAUGGACGGAAGUCUGAACCAGCCAUGCCGCGUGCAGGAAGACGGCUCUAUGAGUUGUAAACUGCUUUUGUACAAGGGUAAACCUGAAUACGUGUAUUCAGCUGAAAGGACGGUACGAAUAAGGAUCGGCUAACUCCGUGCCAGCAGCCGCGGUAAGACGGAGGAUCCAAGCGUUAUCCGGAUUUAUUGGGUUGCAAGGGUGCGUCGGCGGCUUGUUAAGUUAGAGGUGAAAUGUCCGAGCUUCACUCGGGAACUGCCUCUCAUACUGUUGAUCUAGAGUGUAGCUGCGGUAGGCGGAAUGUCUGGUGUAGCGGUGAAAUGCUUAGAGCUCAUACAGAACACCGAUUGCGAAGGCAGCUUACCAAUCUAUAUCUGACGUUGCGGCACGAAAGCGUGGGGAGCAAACAGGAUUAGAUACCCGAGUAGUC